Molecule: long non-coding RNA, 851 nt
Filed under: Cyanistes caeruleus (blue tit)
Lineage: Eukaryota; Metazoa; Chordata; Aves; Passeriformes; Paridae
Description: lncRNA (ENSCCEG00000012604.1)
Source: RNAcentral
CCCCGCGAGAUGGCGCUGAGGGAGAGGCCGAGGCGGGAGAGCAGCAGCCCCUCAGGGACGGGACCCUCUAGGGCGGGCCCAGACCUCGUCCUACAGAGACAGGAUCUCCUCUAUCCUGUCCCCUCUGUAAAAGGACCCCCGUUCCCUUGGUGUGGGGCACAAAGUUCUCUCAGUGACCGGAUCCUCAUUCCCUCAGCGAAUAAGAGUUAUUGCAGAUAUGAUAUGCUGUUGUCAUUGACCUGCAACCCUGUAGCACCUCAGACUGCUCAUCAUGGGUGAGGUCACCCCUGUUCCAGGCUUUCUCUGAGCCAGCCAUGGUGGCCUGAGCCUCAAAGCACAAGCCAAGAGGCUGCCUGGGGAGAUGAAGAAGUGGGGACAUGAGACAUGUCAGCACCCUGGCACGGUGAAAGUGUGCAAGUUGAGUCGAGAGAUCCAGAAUUAUUCCCCAUCUCCACCACAACCUUCCUGCAUGACCUCCAAGGAGGUAUUUGGAAAGUCACUGGAGAGAAGAGGCAGAUGCAGCUUACGAUGCUUAAUUGCAGGCCUGCCAGGAUCUCUGUGCUUGCCUUUGCCUCCUCCCCUCCUGUGGCCCUUGCAGACCAAGGUCCCAGAUCUCCAACCAACAUGAGAGGAGCCUUCAAUGGGAAAAAUAAAGCCUCUUAAAAAGCUCUUCUCUUUCCUAUCUCUUUGUUUUUGUGUCAUCAUAGAACCAUAGAAUGGUUUGGGUUGGAAGAAACCUUCAAGAUCUUCUUGCUCUAAACCCCCUGCCAUAGGCAAGGACAUUUUCCACUACCACAGGUUGCUCAGGGCCCCAUCCAGCCUGGCCUUGAACACCUCCAGGGAUGGGGCAG